AUUAUGCAGAAUAUAUACUAAAAUUAGAAUGAAACAGAGAAAAUUGGCAUAGUCCCUGUGCAAGAAUGACACACACAUUUGUAAAGUGUUCCCUUUCCCA
This 100-nucleotide small nuclear RNA is filed under the name Dromaius novaehollandiae (emu). Lineage: Eukaryota; Metazoa; Chordata; Aves; Casuariiformes; Dromaiidae. The record is from RNAcentral.